Molecule: long non-coding RNA, 242 nt
Organism: Argentina anserina (silverweed cinquefoil)
Lineage: Eukaryota; Viridiplantae; Streptophyta; Magnoliopsida; Rosales; Rosaceae
Exons: 3
Source: RefSeq, a predicted model, not a curated record
CUUUGGUGGUUUGGCUGCUCAUCGGUUUACAGAGAGGUGGCGGAAGAGUUUGUUUCUGACUUUCGGUUUUAUGCGAAGAUCUUAUUUAUGGUUUUUGCUGCUGUUUGUCCAUGUGUUGCUCUUUCUACUUUCACUGUUGUUAUCUCCUUCAGUGUUGGUGUCUAAUUUUUGUGUUGCUACUGCUGCUGGGAGGAAAGUGGGUGAUAGUGCAACUUUCAAGGUUUCUUUAACUAAAAGUAAAU